RNAcentral lists this ribosomal RNA (432 nucleotides) under uncultured bacterium. Its description in RNAcentral is "partial 16S ribosomal RNA". It matches the Rfam family "Bacterial small subunit ribosomal RNA", at positions 29 to 507 of the family's 1533-position model. The record is from RNAcentral.
AACGAACGCUGGCGGCAUGCCUAACACAUGCAAGUCGAACGAAGCCUUCGGGCUUAGUGGCGCACGGGUGCGUAACGCGUGGGAAUCUGCCCCUUGCUUCGGAAUAACAGUUAGAAAUGACUGCUAAUACCGGAUGAAGUCUUCGGACCAAAGAUUUAUCGGCAAGGGAUGAGCCCGCGUAGGAUUAGGUAGUUGGUGGGGUAAAGGCCUACCAAGCCGACGAUCCUUAGCUGGUCUGAGAGGAUGAUCAGCCACACUGGGACUGAGACACGGCCCAGACUCCUACGGGAGGCAGCAGUGGGGAAUAUUGGACAAUGGACGCAAGUCUGAUCCAGCAAUGCCGCGUGAGUGAUGAAGGCCUUAGGGUGUAAAGCUCUUUUACCAGGGAUGAUAAUGACAGUACCUGGAGAAUAAGCUCCGGCUAACUCCGUG